CCCAUUAGCUUGUUGGUAAGGUAACGGCUUACCAAGGCAACGAUGGGUAGGGGUCCUGAGAGGGAGAUCCCCCACACUGGUACUGAGACACGGACCAGACUCCUACGGGAGGCAGCAGUGAGGAAUAUUGGACAAUGGGCGCAAGCCUGAUCCAGCCAUGCCGCGUGCAGGAUGACGGUCCUAUGGAUUGUAAACUGCUUUUGCACAGGAAGAAACACUCGGACGUGUCCGAGCUUGACGGUACUGUGAGAAUAAGGAUCGGCUAACUCCGUGCCAGCAGCCGCGGUAAUACGGAGGAUCCAAGCGUUAUCCGGAAUCAUUGGGUUUAAAGGGUCCGUAGGCGGUUUGGUAAGUCAGUGGUGAAAGCCCAUCGCUCAACGGUGGAACGGCCAUUGAUACUGCUAGACUUGAAUUAUUAGGAAGUAACUAGAAUAUGUAGUGUAG
Molecule: ribosomal RNA, 444 nt
Filed under: uncultured Bacteroidota bacterium
Lineage: Bacteria; Pseudomonadati; Bacteroidota
Description: bacterial SSU rRNA
Rfam family: Bacterial small subunit ribosomal RNA
Source: RNAcentral